CAGUCCUUGGGGGAGCUUCUCUUGCCCUGGGCAGCUGCCCGGCCCUGGCGUGGAGAAGCCAUACUUUGGGGCUCCUCUUCAUGGCAGGUUCUGUCGCCCUAUUCUAAGUGAUCCGGAGUUUCUCAGGUGUCCCUUGAUCACUGUGGAGACAACGUCUGACUUCCGAGGAAGGAAUCUGCAGUUUCCGUGUUGUUGAGCCCUUGCCUGUGCGGCAAGCGGGCGGGGAUCCAGCGGCCUCCAUGUGAGAGAACUGAAGCACAGAGAAGUCAGACUGCUUGAUGAAAGUCAGCAACAGAGGAAAAGCCAGGUUUCCAACCCAGGGUCUCUGGCUUCAAGCACUGCUGCUUGUCCACUAAUUCUGCACUGUCCCUGCUGCGCUUGUCUUCUAUCAUCUGUGGAUAUGAUAAAUUACAAUAACCAGCUGGAGAAAAGCAGCCCGACGUGCGUCCUUGCGGUUUUCUUCCCUACGUGCUCAGGU
Molecule: long non-coding RNA, 478 nt
Organism: Zalophus californianus (California sea lion)
Lineage: Eukaryota; Metazoa; Chordata; Mammalia; Carnivora; Otariidae
Exons: 3
Source: RefSeq, a predicted model, not a curated record